AACGCACCUUGCGCUCCUUGGUAUUCCGAGGAGCAUGCCUGUUUGAGUGUCAUUAAAUUCUCAACCUCACCAGUUUUCUAAACUGUUCUUCGAGGCUUGGAUGUGGGGGUUUGUGCAGGCUGCCUCUGGCGGUCUGCUCCCCUGAAAUGCAUUAGCGAGUUCAUACUGAGCUCCGUCUAUUGGUGUGAUAAUUAUCUACGCCGUGGACGAGGUUCAGACUUGCUUCUAACCGUCCGUAAGGACAAUACCUUGACAAUUUGACCUCAAAUCAGGUAGGACUACCCGCUGAACUUAA
RNAcentral lists this unclassified non-coding RNA (295 nucleotides) under uncultured Agaricales. RNAcentral's name for it is "sequence contains 5.8S rRNA gene, ITS2, 28S rRNA gene". The stretch from base 1 to 52 matches the Rfam family "5.8S ribosomal RNA", at positions 103 to 154 of the family's 154-position model. The record is from RNAcentral. Lineage: Eukaryota; Fungi; Basidiomycota; Agaricomycetes; Agaricales.